Molecule: unclassified non-coding RNA, 178 nt
Filed under: uncultured Rosellinia
Lineage: Eukaryota; Fungi; Ascomycota; Sordariomycetes; Xylariales; Xylariaceae
Description: sequence contains ITS1
Source: RNAcentral
AAGAGUGUAAUAACUCCCAAACCCAUGUGAACAUACCUUACGUUGCCUCGGCAGGUCGCGCCUACCCCGUAGAGCCCUACCCUGUAGGGCCCUACCCGGUGGACGCGGGUAAGCCUGCCGGCGGCCCACGAAACUCUGUUUAGCAUUGUACUUCUGAACGAUAUAACUAAAUAAGUUA